AGCGAACGCUGGCGGCAGGCUUAACACAUGCAAGUCGAGCGGGCACCUUCGGGUGUCCGCGGCAGACGGGUGAGUAACACGUGGGAACGUACCCUUCGGUUCGGAAUAACGCUGGGAAACUAGCGCUAAUACCGGAUACGCCCUUAUGGGGAAAGGUUUACUGCCGAAGGAUCGGCCCGCGUCUGAUUAGCUAGUUGGUGGGGUAACGGCCCACCAAGGCGACGAUCAGUAGCUGGUCUGAGAGGAUGAUCAGCCACACUGGGACUGAGACACGGCCCAGACUCCUACGGGAGGCAGCAGUGGGGAAUAUUGGACAAUGGGCGCAAGCCUGAUCCAGCCAUGCCGCGUGAGUGAUGAAGGCCUUAGGGUUGUAAAGCUCUUUUGUCCGGGACGAUAAUGACGGUACCGGAAGAAUAAGCCCCGGCUAACUUCGUG
RNAcentral lists this ribosomal RNA (435 nucleotides) under uncultured bacterium. Its description in RNAcentral is "partial 16S ribosomal RNA". It matches the Rfam family "Bacterial small subunit ribosomal RNA", at positions 29 to 507 of the family's 1533-position model. The record is from RNAcentral.